RNAcentral lists this long non-coding RNA (246 nucleotides) under Capsicum annuum. RNAcentral's name for it is "long non-coding RNA (CANN_LNC013726)". Lineage: Eukaryota; Viridiplantae; Streptophyta; Magnoliopsida; Solanales; Solanaceae. The record is from RNAcentral.
GGGUCAUGUCCUCCAUAAGCUGUAACUGCUCCAUGUCCCGUCUAAUCACUUUCCUCCAAUAUUUCUUCGGCCUACCCCUACCCCGCCUGAAACCAUCGAAAGUCAGUCUCUCACACCUACGAACUGGGGCCUCCGUGCCCCUCCUACUCACAUGCCCGAACCAUCUCAACCGAACUUCCUGCAUCUUGUCCUCCACCGAAGUCACUUCAACCUUCUCCCGAAUAAUCUCAUUCCUAACCCUAUCAC